This 363-nucleotide transfer-messenger RNA is filed under the name bovine gut metagenome. It matches the Rfam family "transfer-messenger RNA". Rfam says of the family: Bacterial tmRNA, also known as 10Sa RNA or SsrA, is named for its dual tRNA and mRNA-like properties. Its role is to liberate the mRNA from a stalled ribosome. The record is from RNAcentral.
GGGGUCGCAACGGUUUCGACUGUGAGAAGAAGGGGAGGCAUAAGCAUACCGGGGCGCUCGGCCUCGUCAAAAACGAGCACCUUAAAUUUAAAUGCUGAUAAUCAUCAACAGUUAGCAUUCGCUGCUUAAUUAAAGCAGUUGUCCGCCUGCGUUUUUCCCGUCGGGCGCAACGCGGGCAUCAUUUCAGGCGGGGAACGACCUUUGCCCAUUGAAAACGGGGCUUUGGCUGAUCUUUUGUUUUCGGCGCCGCAAGAAUAACGCGCCUUACCGUUUCUUGCGGAAGGGGAUAAGUUAAGGCUAAGUAUGUAGAAGGCCUUUCGGUCUUCCCGCAACACGAGGGUUCAACCCCCUCCGGCUCCACCA